Non-coding RNA from Labrus bergylta (ballan wrasse), 1293 nucleotides. NCBI's taxonomy places the organism in Eukaryota, Metazoa, Chordata, Actinopteri, Labriformes, Labridae. The record is from RefSeq and is a predicted model, not a curated record.
AUUAAACCGCUGCCUUAAGUUUUCUGUCCUCCAGUAUGUACAAAAAAACUGUCAUCAUAGAGUUGGACUCUGUUGCUCUGUCCACCACCUCUGACUGCCUGAAAAUAAUGAAGACUUUCAGUAGUGCAUGAGUGAAAAUGUCUUUAUUGAGGCUGAAGAACGUUUAGGAUUGUUGUGUUUUGUCCACAGAGCUGAAUGAUUUUUGUUAUUAUUUCAAACACUCUUUUCUCUGGUGCUGAUUUACUGUGAAGAGAUGAACUCACUCCUGCUCCUGCGUCUCUUCCAGGGCUCCUUCUUGAUCACUCAGGCUGUGGCUCAGGCUCUGGUGGCCUGUGGAGCACCCAAAGGAUCCAUCAUCACCGUGGGCAGCAUCGUAGGAAAGUGAUCAUCCGUCCAUCCAUCCACCUUGUGCUCGUAGCCAAUAAAGGGUUAAAUGGUUCUUGGAUCCAUGUGUUUGAAUGUUCACACCAGCUGGAGGUUCACUGGUUCAGCAUUUUAAAGACAUUCACUCACACUCAUUACUUUUAGUGAUCCUUUUUUACGACUUCUUUGAUCGAAUGUCGCCUCCACAAACUCUGAAUUAUUAAUCAGUCGUCUUUAAAUCGUCUACAAAAGGUCGGAGAAAUGCACGGAUUGAAAACAAGCUGGUGAGGAUGGAAACAAUCAAAACACCAAACAUGACAGGAACCUCAAACAUGUUCACACAACCACACAGGGUUAGAAACAAACACACACCUGAAUCCUGAUUCUCUGCACCUGUUCACCUGUCACUCCCCUUUCUAGCUGCGUGUGGCUGAUUACCCAUGAUGCCCAGGUGCAAAGGUGACGUAGCAGCAGCAGCAAUAAUAACCAAACUCAGCACACACACUAUAGCACACAUCAAACUGGCUCCAACAAAUGUUUUUAUAUCAUCACAAUGUAGAUGUUACUGAACUGAGCGGCUAAUUUAAAUAUCUUUGUUCAGACGUUUCAGAACAUGUGAAUAAUCCGUCUAUAAGAUCAACAAAGUAAAGAUCAUAAAGUUUAUUGGAAUCAAACUAAAUGUUCCCACAAUGGUAGCUACAGCUGUGUAAGUGUUUCCAUGAAUGUUGAAGUGAAGAAACACACAGACAUUUGGAGUGUGAGGGACUUUAUUGAACAGAUCAUUUACAGUACAAAGGUAUGAAACAGCAGCUCAACACCACUAGUUAACUUAACCCAACACAGGAAGUGAUUCUGAGAAUUCAUCUUCCACUUCCAUUCACAAAACUCAGAGAGAAAACAUCCCUCGUUCCUGAACACGAGCAGGAAUUA